AGCGAACGCUGGCGGCAGGCCUAACACAUGCAAGUCGAGCGCCCGUAGCAAUACGGGAGCGGCAGACGGGAGAGUAACACGUGGGAACGUACCCUUUGGUUCGGAACAACCCAGGGAAACUUGGGCUAAUACCGGAUAAGUCCGUAAGGAGAAAGAUUUAUCGCCAAAGGAUCGGCCCGCGUCUGAUUAGCUUGUUGGUGAGGUAACGGCUCACCAAGGCUACGAUCAGUAGCUGGUCUGAGAGGAUGAUCAGCCUCACUGGGACUGAGACACGGCC
This 277-nucleotide ribosomal RNA is filed under the name uncultured bacterium. Its description in RNAcentral is "partial 16S ribosomal RNA". It matches the Rfam family "Bacterial small subunit ribosomal RNA", at positions 29 to 331 of the family's 1533-position model. The record is from RNAcentral.